Molecule: long non-coding RNA, 626 nt
Organism: Pseudophryne corroboree (corroboree frog)
Lineage: Eukaryota; Metazoa; Chordata; Amphibia; Anura; Myobatrachidae
Exons: 3
Source: RefSeq, a predicted model, not a curated record
GAGACGGGGUUACUGCUCUGAGGAGAGUGUGUGAGGCUGCAGUGUGGAGAGUUGUCGUCCAGAGAGCACUGAAAGGGGUGACCAGCGGCGAAAGGAGAGCGGUCGCAAGUGGAGUCGUCAGCGCCCGACAACUGAGUGAGACGUUAGGGAAGGAAGCGUCACAGCUGCUGAGAGAGAAGUGCUGACAGGAAUCAUAUUAGCGUGCGAGCUGCAAGUGAAGCAGCAUGGAGUCUCUGUCAUCACAGCUGGGAAGCACUGAAGAGGCCGCCUGACAGUGAGAGGAUGGAGUGCAGCUGUGGGGAACACAUCAUGAUGUCAUGCCGUGCAGCAGCACUCAAAGGCAGAGCAAGGUCACCCUGGCGAGCAGCAAAAAGACAUUAAAGAAGACCCUCAUCGUGGAACAUCUUAAAGGGGAACCCCGCCUCCCCAUGCUGGAAGUCAGGAUUACCCAGAAACCGUAGAAACAAGGAGUUGUGUCUCCCUAAGUUUCCGGAUCUUCUCAAGGAGUGCCAAAGGCGAUAAACCAACCAUAGAAGGGGAUUAUCUUGUAGAUCCCGAUCACAGUCCGCCUCCAGACAGUGGAGGAAGUUUGUUAAGUUUUUAGAUUUUAGGAAUUGUGUCUCAAG